Long non-coding RNA from Hylaeus anthracinus, 958 nucleotides. RefSeq lists it as uncharacterized. The record is from RefSeq and is a predicted model, not a curated record. NCBI's taxonomy places the organism in Eukaryota, Metazoa, Arthropoda, Insecta, Hymenoptera, Colletidae. The transcript is spliced from 3 exons.
AUUCAGUUACGUUUUUUCUCCUCGAGAUAUUCGACGACAUCCUUACGUGUCUUCGCCGAUGUUAGUUGCAAGUAAUUGGUAUGCGGAGUAAUUUUAGGAAGUAGGACGUGCUACAGCUGUUUUCCAAGCGAAGACAGAAAGAACUGAUGCAACAGGACAUUCGCAAACUGCAGUUGCAAUUUUUGAACGGUGGUUGACCAAUGAUAAUAUUAGAGUAAUAGUUUUUAAAUAGAUGUAAAAUAUUCGAAUAGUUCUAGAAGCAGAAGUGACAUGCGUCGUUCCAAUCACAAAAGAUUCCCCACCUUUCUAUUAGACAAUAAAAGUCUUGAACUUUACUAACUAUUUAAUCGCACAAUCGCCGUGCACUACACCGCAAUAUCUGCCGAUCACCGAUUGCAGAAGAAAGUUCAUCAUCCUAAUCGAUCCACAGUGUGUUAACUUUAGCUGGACAUUCGCUACCGAUUGUAAUAAGGUAGGCUUACAAAUAUACAAUUUAAUUUGUCCGAAGUUAUCGAAUAAUCAAUGUAUGCCAGAAACCGUAUCUUCUCUUCCCCAAUUACUACUUCACCUGGCUGACCUUCCCAUAGUUCUGUUUCCAAGUCUGACAUAAAUAAAGCGAAUAACAGCAGGCUCGUUGGACUUUCUUGCCUGACUUCCGUCUAUGUUCAGUUCGUUUCCGAUAAUCUGCCCUUGUACCUUAUCGAGAUUGUCUCUUCGUACAUUUCCUUAGUUCCUCGAAUCGAUCAUUCUCUACUUCUCUCGUCCCGAAAACUUUCCACGAUUAAAUACUAUGCAAUUUGUUUGUUUUGUUGCUCGAAUAAAAUAAGAUCGACCCGAUUCAAAUGGGUUGCAAUUACUCAAGGGACAAGCUUACAGCCUUUCGAGUCACGAAUUAUUGCAAAAGAAGAUCGUAAAUUUUAUUGAACUUUCGAGGUAAAGGAAAUAGUACCGUACGCUU